RNAcentral lists this ribosomal RNA (491 nucleotides) under uncultured bacterium. RNAcentral's name for it is "partial 16S ribosomal RNA". It matches the Rfam family "Bacterial small subunit ribosomal RNA", at positions 29 to 507 of the family's 1533-position model. The record is from RNAcentral.
GUGAACGCUGGCGGUCGGCCCAACACCUGCAAGUCGCACGGCAGCACAGUAAGAGCUUGCUCUUACGGGUGGCGAGUGGCGGACGGGUGAGGAAUACAUCGGAAUCUACUUUUUCGUGGGGGAUAACGUAGGGAAACUUACGCUAAUACCGCAUACGACCUACGGGUGAAAGCAGGGGAUCUUCGGACCUUGCGCGAUUGAAUGAGCCGAUGUCGGAUUAGCUAGUUGGCGGGGUAAAGGCCCACCAAGGCGACGAUCCGUAGCUGGUCUGAGAGGAUGAUCAGCCACACUGGAACUGAGACACGGUCCAGACUCCUACGGGAGGCAGCAGUGGGGAAUAUUGGACAAUGGGCGCAAGCCUGAUCCAGCCAUACCGCGUGGGUGAAGAAGGCCUUCGGGUUGUAAAGCCCUUUUGUUGGGAAAGAAAAGCAGCAGGUUAAUACCCCGCUGUUCUGACGGUACCCAAAGAAUAAGCACCGGCUAACUUCGUG